UUGACUUAUUGUAUAAGUUACUCAGAGAGGCCUAUGAUGACGAAGAGUUUCGGGCCUCUGACGGGCUGCCGGUCCCCCGAAGGGGUACCGGCGCGGCCUGGGUCUCCCCGGGCUACCCGCCGAAGCAACGGUGAGGUAGGUUCACAAUGGUUGGGAGUUUUGCAACUCUGUAAUGAUCCCUCCGCUGGUUCACCAACGGAGA
Molecule: unclassified non-coding RNA, 202 nt
Filed under: uncultured fungus
Lineage: Eukaryota; Fungi
Description: sequence contains ITS1
Source: RNAcentral